CUGCGGGUGCCUAUACAUGCAAGUCGAACGAACUCUGGUAUUGAUUGGUGCUUGCAUCAUGAUUUACAUUUGAGUGAGUGGCGAACUGGUGAGUAACACGUGGGAAACCUGCCCAGAAGCGGGGGAUAACACCUGGAAACAGAUGCUAAUACCGCAUAACAACUUGGACCGCAUGGUCCGAGUUUGAAAGAUGGCUUCGGCUAUCACUUUUGGAUGGUCCCGCGGCGUAUUAGCUAGAUGGUGAGGUAACGGCUCACCAUGGCAAUGAUACGUAGCCGACCUGAGAGGGUAAUCGGCCACAUUGGGACUGAGACACGGCCCAAACUCCUACGGGAGGCAGCAGUAGGGAAUCUUCCACAAUGGACGAAAGUCUGAUGGAGCAACGCCGCGUGAGUGAAGAAGGGUUUCGGCUCGUAAAACUCUGUUGUUAAAGAAGAACAUAUCUGAGAGUAACUGUUCAGGUAUUGACGGUAUUUAACCAGAAAGCCACGGCUAACUACGUGCCAGCAGCCGCGGUAAUACGUAGGUGGCAAGCGUUGUCCGGAUUUAUUGGGCGUAAAGCGAGCGCAGGCGGUUUUUUAAGUCUGAUGUGAAAGCCUUCGGCUCAACCGAAGAAGUGCAUCGGAAACUGGGAAACUUGAGUGCAGAAGAGGACAGUGGAACUCCAUGUGUAGCGGUGAAAUGCGUAGAUAUAUGGAAGAACACCAGUGGCGAAGGCGGCUGUCUGGUCUGUAACUGACGCUGAGGCUCGAAAGUAUGGGUAGCAAACAGGAUUAGAUACCCUGGUAGUCCAUACCGUAAACGAUGAAUGCUAAGUGUUGGAGGGUUUCCGCCCUUCAGUGCUGCAGCUAACGCAUUAAGCAUUCCGCCUGGGGAGUACGGCCGCAAGGCUGAAACUCAAAGGAAUUGACGGGGGCCCGCACAAGCGGUGGAGCAUGUGGUUUAAUUCGAAGCUACGCGAAGAACCUUACCAGGUCUUGACAUACUAUGCAAAUCUAAGAGAUUAGACGUUCCCUUCGGGGACAUGGAUACAGGUGGUGCAUGGUUGUCGUCAGCUCGUGUCGUGAGAUGUUGGGUUAAGUCCCGCAACGAGCGCAACCCUUAUUAUCAGUUGCCAGCAUUAAGUUGGGCACUCUGGUGAGACUGCCGGUGACAAACCGGAGGAAGGUGGGGAUGACGUCAAAUCAUCAUGCCCCUUAUGACCUGGGCUACACACGUGCUACAAUGGAUGGUACAACGAGUUGCGAACUCGCGAGAGUAAGCUAAUCUCUUAAAGCCAUUCUCAGUUCGGAUUGUAGGCUGCAACUCGCCUACAUGAAGUCGGAAUCGCUAGUAAUCGCGGAUCAGCAUGCCGCGGUGAAUACGUUCCCGGGCCUUGUACACACCGCCCGUCACACCAUGAGAGUUUGUAACACCCAAAGUCGGUGGGGUAACCUUUUAGGAACCAGCCGCCUAAGGUGACAGAUU
Molecule: ribosomal RNA, 1467 nt
Filed under: Lactiplantibacillus plantarum
Lineage: Bacteria; Bacillati; Bacillota; Bacilli; Lactobacillales; Lactobacillaceae
Description: bacterial SSU rRNA
Rfam family: Bacterial small subunit ribosomal RNA
Source: RNAcentral